CCGAGCGUAGCUCAGUCGUAGAGCGAUUGACUGUAGUGUGUAGAUACUGUGUAUCAGUAUACUCGGAAAUCAAUUGGUCACCAGUUCGAUUCUGGUCGUUCGGA
This 104-nucleotide transfer RNA is filed under the name Globisporangium ultimum DAOM BR144. Its description in RNAcentral is "tRNA EPrPULG00000000090". It matches the Rfam family "tRNA". Rfam says of the family: Transfer RNA (tRNA) molecules are approximately 80 nucleotides in length. The record is from Rfam by way of RNAcentral. Lineage: Eukaryota; Oomycota; Peronosporomycetes; Pythiales; Pythiaceae.